ACCUACCCCGAGGACAGAGAUAGCUACUGGAAACGGUAGGUAAACUCUGAUAAGCCCGAGAGGGGAAAGUGGGAGUCAGCCUUGGGAUGGACCUACUAUCCAUCAGGUAGUUGGUGAGGUAAAGGCUUACCAAGCCGAUGACGGAUAACCGGUGUGAGAGCAUGUACGGUCACAAGGGCACUGAGACACGGGCCCUACUCCUACGGGAGGCAGCAGUGGGGAAUAUUGGACAAUGGGCGAAAGCCUGAUCCAGCGACGCCGCGUGAAGGAAGAAGUCCUUCGGGAUGUAAACUUCUGAACUAAUCGAAUAAGAGGGUAGUGGACACACUACAGAAGAAGGUAGAUUAGGAAAAGUCCCGGCUAACUACGUGCCAGCAGCCGCGGUAAGACGUAGGGGGCGAGCGUUGCCCGGAAUCACUGGGUGUAAAGGGGACGUAGGCGGAUGAUCAAGUCAUCUGUGAAAAGAUUGCUCAACGAUUGGCUUGCGGAUGAAACUGGUCAUCUUGGGCGUAGCAGAGGUAGACGGAAUUACCUGAGUAGG
This 541-nucleotide ribosomal RNA is filed under the name uncultured Petrotoga sp. RNAcentral describes it as "bacterial SSU rRNA". It matches the Rfam family "Bacterial small subunit ribosomal RNA", at positions 124 to 679 of the family's 1533-position model. The record is from RNAcentral. Lineage: Bacteria; Thermotogati; Thermotogota; Thermotogae; Petrotogales; Petrotogaceae.